RNAcentral lists this RNase P RNA (350 nucleotides) under Candidatus Daviesbacteria bacterium. RNAcentral's name for it is "RNase P RNA component class A". It matches the Rfam family "Bacterial RNase P class A". From Rfam's summary of the family: Ribonuclease P (RNase P) is a ubiquitous endoribonuclease, found in archaea, bacteria and eukarya as well as chloroplasts and mitochondria. The record is from RNAcentral. Lineage: Bacteria; Candidatus Daviesiibacteriota.
UUAGGAAGAAGGAUGAUUACCGUCUGUAGCCUUGUGCGAAGGACGGAGGAAAGUCCAGACAGCACAGAGCAGGGUGGUCAGCGUAAGCUGGCAGUCGAAAGACCUAGUUAGAGCAACAGUGACGAAUCGGGUAGCGCCGAGUGAAACGACUAAGCGAUUGAGUAUUUGUCUCGAAUAACCUCUUCAGGGUUUACCCUGGGUGAGCGAAGCGAGUCGAAGGGCAAUCCUCCCCGCUGCAAUCCUAGAACCGGUCGAGUGACUCGCUCAUUGACUGAAAUCAGGAGCAUUAGAUAAAUGAUCAUCGCUCCAAUUUGGAGUAACAGAAUCUGGCUCACUCUCUUCCUAAGCAA